Molecule: long non-coding RNA, 1414 nt
Organism: Peromyscus maniculatus bairdii (prairie deer mouse)
Lineage: Eukaryota; Metazoa; Chordata; Mammalia; Rodentia; Cricetidae
Source: RefSeq, a predicted model, not a curated record
AAACAGUCCAGCCAGCUGCAGUGCCCAUGGAGGGAUAGUGCCCGAGGGUGUCUAGGAGGUGAACGUCAGCCACCAAGACCGAAACGAAAACAUGAGGAAGGAAGUACCUGGAUCCCAGGACAAGCAGGGUGCUGCCAGGCACCUACCUGAUAUGAAAGUUCUGGACGUUGACAUUUUUGUAUGGGGCUGUCUUUCUCUGGCACCAGAGGAGGAGCCCUUCUUUGGCAGAAGUCUCUGCAAAGCACACAAUGACAGAAAGGUCUCUCUCACGCCAUGUGUCAGAGUGCAGUGCUGGGACAGCAGGCAGGCGUGCACCACCACGUCAGGUGAGGAUAAAACUGCUCCUUUACAGGAAGUCACAAAAACAACCCUGGAACUCUAUGUGUUCUGAAAGCAAGUCAGGGAAGAAAAUGCUGGUCUGUCACUCCAUCGGGAGAGGCCAGCCUGAGCUACAGAGGUAAGACUGUCUCAGAACAACAAUGAACCCGACCCUCCACCUCCUGUAGAGAUCAACAGAGGUGCUGUUCACUGCUCCAACAGCAGCACUUCAGAGUGUGCCCGCCUCAGCAGCCAGGCCCUUCUUUCUAGAGUUUGCCAAGUUGCUGGCUGUACCAUCCAACAAAUAAAGGAAACUGGCACAGUGGCACGGCUCUAUAUUCCUGGCACUUGGAAGGUGGAGGCAAGAGGAUCAAGAGCUCAAGGUCACCCCUGCUACACAGUGAGCGGUAAGACCAGCCUGAGCUGCAUGAGACCCCUGCAGACAAAAUGAACAAAGAAAAAAGUAAACACAAUGAAGACACAAGAAAAGAAGUUAGAAGUAUCUGCUUCUUAUACUGGAGGACUGGGGCUGUAGCGUGGUAGGAGAGUCCUUGCCCAGCACACAGGAGGCCCUGGGGGAGGGGGAGGAGCACAGCCCUUGGGAAGCUGAUUCAGGAGGAUCCAAGUUCUGGGCCAGAGAAAAACACGCAGAAAUUUAGAUCUUUCAAAUCCAGUAGUUUUCAGUGUGAGAAGCACUCAGGGAGCUCUUCUCCCUUUCUCCCCAGCUCAGGGUUAGUAAGACUAUGGAUACACUGUCAUUUGGAUGAAGGAGUUUUCUAGAUCACAGACUGUUCUUUCUCCCUCAUCCCUUUUUUCUUUCGGACAGGGCCUCACUAUGCACAUCUGGCUAGCCUGGAGUUUGUUGUGUAGCUCAGAUAGACAGGCCUCAAACAGAGUGCUGGCCUUCUGUAUUCUUCUUAAAAUAUAUGGUUUGCAGAGUCAGUGGGGAUGUAAUUCACAUAAUUUAAGAUUAAUCCUUAGCUGGGCAGGGUGGCACAUGCCUUUAAUCCCAGCAGGUGGACUUCUGUGCAUUUGAGGCUAGCCUAGUCUACAGAGUGAGUUCCAGGAUAGCUAGCUGUUAUACAGAGAAAGCCUG